RNA transcript from Pan troglodytes (chimpanzee), 18969 nucleotides. It is a transcript of the gene named zinc finger protein 846, with no coding region annotated. Lineage: Eukaryota; Metazoa; Chordata; Mammalia; Primates; Hominidae. The record is from RefSeq and is a predicted model, not a curated record. The transcript has 9 exons.
CGGAGACGCAGUCUCGCUCUGUCGCCCAGGCUGGAGUGCAGUGGCAUGACCUCAGCUCACUGUAACCUGCGCCUACCGGGUUCCAGCAAUUCUCCUGCCGCAGCCUCCUGAGUAGCUAGGAUUACAGGCGUGUGCCACCAGGCCCGGCUAAUUUUUGUAUUUCUAGUAGAGACGGGGUUUCGUCAUGUUGGCCAGGCGGGAGACCCAAGUUCUUAUUUCCAGAGGAAGCCUUCAGGUACUAGACUUCAGAGAGAAUAGGUUGUAAAAUGUUUAUCCGACAGACCUGGGGGCGUGGCUUCCAAUGAAGACCAGCCCUAGAAGGCGGGGCUGGGAGACUGCGAAGUCGGAGGGGUUGAGGGGGCUUCAGGCAGAGUGGGUGGAGCAAAGGAGAGGGCUCAGGCUUGGGGGCGGGACUUGGGUGGGUCCUCCAUUCUGGUUGGCCAAGCCUCUAUGUCCCAAAUAAAAGUCUCUACCUUCCCGAGAACUUAUUACAAUAGAACACCAGAUUUCCAGAGGUAUCUGCCAGUCCACAGAGUGAAUCACGUUUCCAUUCAUCCCGUUUCUUCUAUAGGCCCUUGAAGAGAGUUUUAACAUUUUCUUCUUAAAUCGGUUGUAUCUUUCGGUGAGGUUAACUCCUAGAGAUUACAUAUAAAUACAUUUAGUUUUUUUGCUCUUUUUUCCAACCGAUGGUUAUUGAGGAGUUCUGAGAGAUGAGAAACGUGCUGAUUUAAAUCACAAAUGUAGGCCAGACGCAGUCGCUCACACCUGUAAUCCUGGCACUUUGGGAGGUUGAGGCAGGAUCCUUUGAGCCCAGGAGUUCUAGACCAGCCUGGGCAACAUAGGGAGACCCUGUCUCUAUGAAACAUUAAAAUUAAAAUUAAAAAAAGAAAAAUAAAUAGCCCAGGUGCGAUGGCUCAAGCCUGUAAUCCCAGCACUUUGGGAGGCCGAGGCGGGUGGAUCAUCUGAGGUCAGGAGUUCGAGACCAGCCUGAACAAUAUGGUGAAACCCGCUUCUACUAAAAAUACGAAAAAUUAGUUUGGCGUGGUGGCGGGCGCCUGUAAUCCCAACUACUUGGGAGGCUGAGGCAGGAGAAUAGCUUGAACCCGGGAGGCGGAGGUUGCAGUGAGCCGAGAUCGCGCCAUUGCACUCCAGCCUGAGCGACAAGAGCAAAACUGUCUCAAACGAAACAAAACAAACCAAAAACCCAAUAAAAUACAAAAAUUAGCUGCGCGUGGUGGUGCACACCUGUAAUCCCAGCUACUCGGGAGGCUGAGGCAGGAGAAUCGCUUCAACCUGGGAGGCGGAGGUUGCAGGGAGCCGAGAUGGCGCCACUGCACUCCAGCCUGGGUGACAGACUGAGACUCCUUCUCUAUAAAAAAAAAAAAAAAGAAAUAGAAAAAAGAAAAAUGAAUAGGCCGGGCACGGUGGCUCACGCCUGUAAUCCCAGCACUUUGGGAGGCCGAGGCGGGCGGAUCACUUGAGGUCAAGGGUUCGAGACCAGCCUGGCUAACACGGUGAAACCUCGUUUCUACUAAAAAUACAAAAAGUUAUCCGGGCAUAGUGGUGCGUGCUUGUAAUCCCAGCUAGUCGGGAGGCUGUGGCAGGAGAAUUUCUUGAACUCAGAAGGCGGAGUUUGCAGUGAAUCAAGAUCACACCACUGCACUCCAGCCUGGGUAACAGAGGGAGACUCCGUCUCUUAAAAAAAAAAAAAAAAAAAAAAAAAAAAAAGCAAAAUAAGUAAAUAAAGUAGAUAACAGAUAUAAAAUAGUGUCCAGAUGAAACAAUAGAUGCCCAACAUCCUGGAAUGGGACAUCAAUUAAAAAAAAAAUAGAAAAGAACAAGAGAUGCCCAGCAAAUAGUUAUUUUCACUUUCCCCCUAACGAAGGGUGAAGAGGUCUACAAAUGUUCGCUGUUUCUCUUAAUUCCUGUGUUUUGAGAAUUAAGGAUUUAUAAGGCAAACCAAGUGAUGCGCUGUUGUCUUCUGGAGACCUAUGGUAUUACAUUUCAUCUCAAGCAGGUGCUUUUUGAAACUUACCUUUAAACCUUCCUUCCCUAUUGGAAAGUUAUCACUUGAAAAAGCAUUUUCAUCAUACCUGUAAUCCCAGCACUUUGGGAGGCUGAGGUGGACGGAUAACCUGAAGUCAGGAGUUCAAGACCAGCCUGGCAAACAUGGUCAAACCUCGUCUCUACUAAAAGUACGAAAAUUGGCCGGGCAUGGUGGCUCACACCUAUAAUCCCAGCACUUUGGGAGGCUGAGGCGGGUGGAUCACCUGAGGUCAGGAGUUCAAGACCAGCCUGGCCAACAUGAUAAAACCCCAUCUUGGCCGGGUGCGGUGACUCACGCCUGUAAUCCCAGCACUUUGGGAGGCCGAGGCGGGCGGAUCACGAGGUCAGGAGAUCGAGACCAUCCUGGCUAACACAGUGAAAUCCCGUCUCUACUAAAAAUACAAAAAAAUUACCUGGGUGUGGUGGCGGGCGCCUGUAGUCCCAGCUACUCGGGAAGCUGAGGCAGGAGAGUGGUGUGAACCUGGGAGGCAGAGCUUGCAGUGAGCCGAGAUCGCGCCACUGCACUCCAGCCUGGGCGACAAAGUGAGACUCCAUCUCAAAAAAAAAAAAAAGAAAGAAACCCCAUCUCUACUAAAAAUACAAAAAAUUUGCCAGGUGUGGUGGUGGGUGCCUGUAAUCCCAGCUACUUGGGAGGCUGAGGCAGGAGAAUCGCCCGAACCCAGGAGGCAGAGGUUGCAGUGAGCCGAGAUAGUGCCAUUGCACUCCAGCCUGGGCAACAAGAGCAAAACUCAAUCUCAAAAAAAAAAAAAAAAAGUACAAAAAUUAGCUGGUGUGGUGGUGCCCGCCUGUAAUCUCAGCUAUUCCUGUGGCUGAGGCAUAAGAAUUGCUUGAACCCACGAGGGUUCAAGUUGCAGUGAUCUGAGAUCGUGCCACUGCACUCCAGUCUGGGCAACAGAGCAAGGGGCCAGCAAAAAAAAAAAAAAAAAAAAAAAAAAGCCUUUUCCAAGCUGGGAUGGGGAUGGAACAACAGUUUGACAGAUGAGAAAACUGAGACUCAGAGUCAUCUACACACAGUAUUUCCACUUCAUCUCCAGGAAAUGACUGAAGGAAUUUAGGGAAUGUCUGUUAAUUUCUGAGGAAAGACAGAACAGCAAGUGCAAGGGCCCUGAGGCAGGAAGGCAGGACAAUGCUUCUGUAACAGCAGAAGCCCUGUGUCUGAAAUGGUUUAAGUGAGUUGGGUAGGAUGGAGACUAGCAGGAAGGAAGUCAAUUAUCAGUCAGAUCAUAUGGGGCCAUGAGAACAACUAAACAUUUUGGGUUUUACUAUGAGUGCAAUGCAAAGUCAUAGAAGGGUCUGAGCUACUGGAGCAAUAUUAUCUGAUAUAUAUUUUAAGAAUAUCUGUCUGUCAUUUGUACAACUCUUGGGAAUCAAAGGUAGAAUCAGGGAGCGUAAUUGGAAAGUUAAGGCAAUAAUCCCGAUGAGAAGAAAGUGGUUUGGAAAGUUGGUAGCAGGGGACAGAGGGGUUGUGGCGUGGUCUGAGGCUAAAGUGGAGGUAGAUCCAAGAGCUAUCUGCUGAUGGAUUUUCUUUCUUUCUUUUUCUUUUUUUUAGAGACAGUCUCACUCUGUCACCCAGACUGGUGUGCAAUGGCACAAUCAUAGCUCACUGCAGCAUGGAACUCCUGGACUCAAGUGAUUCUUCCACCUCAGCCUCCUCAGUAGCUGGGACUACAGGCGCCCACCACCACAGUCAGCUAUUUUUUUUUCUUUUUGUAGAGAUGGUAUGUCACUAUGUUGCCCAAGCUUGGCUCUAACUCCUGGCCUCAAUCGAUCCUCCUGCCGUGGGCUCCCAAAGUGUGGGAUUAUAGGCAUGAGUUACCAAGCUUGUAACCGCCUAACUGCCUAGAGCUGAUUUACCAAUACAGGAAAUUGCAAUAAAGAAAGAGUUUCAUUCAUGCAGAGCCAGCUAGCCGUACAGGAGACCAAAAUUUUACUAUUAUUCAGAUCAGUCUCCCUGAAAACUCUGGGAUCAGGGGGUUUGUUUGUUUGUUUGUUUUGAGACAGAGUUUCGCUCUUGUCACCCAAGCUGGAGUGUAAUGGCGCCACCUCAGCUCACUGUAACCUCUUCCUCCUGGGUUUAAGAGAUUCUCCUGCCAGUAGCUGGGAUUACAGGUGGCCACCACCAUGCCUGGCUAAUUUUUCUAUUUUUUUUUAGUAGAGACGGGGUUUCACCAUGUUGGCCAGGCUGGUCUUGAACUCCUGACCUCAGGUGAUCCACCUGCCUUGGCCUCCCAAUGUGCUGGGAUUACAGGCGUGAUCCACCGCACCUGGCCUGAGAUCGUGGUUUUUAAGGAUAAUUUGAGAUAAUUUUAAGGAUAAUAGGGGGUCUGAAAGUGGGAAGUGCUGAUUGGUUGAGUCUGAGAUGAAAUCACAGGGAGUGGAACCUGUCCUGUUGCUCUGAGUCAGUUCCUGGGUGGGAACCACAAGACCAGAUGAGCCGGUUUAUCCAUCUAGGCGGCCUCAACUUGUGCACUGAAACACAGGGUCUGCAAAAUAUCUCAAGCACUGAUUCUAGGUUUUACGAUAGUGAUUUUAUCCCUAGGAGCAAUUUGGGGAGGUCCAGAAUAUUGCACCCACCAGCUGCAUGACUCCUAAACCAUAAUUUCUUAUCUGUGGCUAAUGUGUUAGUCCUGCAAAGGCAGUCUAGUCUCCAGGGAAAAGGAGGUUUGUUUUGGGAAAGCAUUAUUGUUGUUUUUGUUUCAAAGUUAAACUAUAAACUAAGUUCAUCCCAAACUUAGUUUGGCCUAUGUCCAGGAAUGAACAAGGACAGUGUGGAGGUUAGAAGCAAGAUGCAGUUAGUUUGGUCAGAUCUCUUUCCCUGUAAUCAGUUUCUCAGUUAUAAUUUUUGCAAAGGUGGUUUCAAGCCCAGUACCCAGGGCUCGUAAGAAAGACAUUCAGCUAGGCGCGGUGGCUCACGCCUGUAAUCCCAGCACUUUGGGAGACCGAGGUGGGUGGAUCACGAGGUGAGCAGAUCGAGACCAUCCUGGCUAACACAGUGAAACCCCGUCUCUACUAAAAACAAAACACAAAAGAUUAGCUGGGCGUGGUGGCAGGUGCAUGUAGUCCCAGCUACUCGGGAGGCUCAGGCAGGAGAAUCGCUUGAACCCGGGAGGCGGAGGUUGCAGUGAGCCGAUAUCGCACCACUGCACUCCAGCCUGGGUGACAGAGUGAGACUCCAUCUCAAAAAAAAAAAAAAAAAAAAAAAAAGACAUUCAGGUCGUGCGCGGUGGCUCACCCCAGUAAUCCCAGCACUUUGGGAGGCUGAGACAGGCAGAUCACAUGAGGUCAGGAGUUUGAGAGCAGCCUGGCCAACAUGGUGAAACUCCAUCUCUACUAAAAAUAAAAAAUUAGCCGGGUGUGGUGGCAUGCACCUGUAAUCCCAGCUACUCGGGAGGCUGAGGAAGGAGAAUCACUUGAACCCGGAGGUGGAGGUUGCAGUGAGCCGAGAUCGCGCCACUGCACUCCAGCCUGGGCAACAGAGUGAGACUCAGCUUCAAAAAAAAAAAGAAAGAAAGAAAAAAGAAAGACAUUCAAUUAAGCUUCUUCCUUUUCCCACAGACUCUAGAGUUUAACGUCUUCAGUGGGAAUCAGCAUGGACGUUCAGAACAGUCCCUCCUUAAACACAAAGACAUUUCCUACCUCGUACCUCAUAAUCACAUGAUAGAAGGGGUGAGAAUGUCUCCACGGCCAAUCCCAUACAGGGGUGUUCAAGAAUACAGUUAUGGGUUGUUAGUUUUUGUUUCUGGUUGGGCCUGCAAAGCCUCUUCCUCAUCCCUCUUUUCCACUUAUCACUAGAAACAGAAACUAAAAACCAUGGCUUCAGGCUGCUACAAGCCUAAAACAAAACAAAACAAGACAACAACAACAAAAUAAGGCGACUUGGACAAACUUGCUAGUAAAUCCAUUAACGAAGGCCCCGCCCUCAUGAUCUAAUCACCUCCCUGAGGCCUCAUAUCCUAAUUUCAUCACUUCUGCGGUUAGGAUUUAAGCAUUUGGCUUUGCGGAGUGGUGGUGUGGAGGCAGGACACACACAACAUACAACCUUCAGACCAUAGUGAGGUAGGAGACUGGGUAGGACUUACUUUGUUUCCUGGUCCCAACAGGAUAAAGUGAAGAAGCCACCGGGAACCAGCAGAUGGCACCAAAAGCCAUCUCUAGUUGCUCUCCUUGCUUGUUAGGGUAAGACACUCCUACCAGAGUCAUGACAGUUGAUAAGUACCAUGGCAACAACAUGAAAGUUACCAUUCACUUCCAUAACAAUCACCUGGAAGUUAUAGCCUCCUUUCUAGAAAGUUCUGCAUGGCACACCCCUUAAUUUGCAUGUAAUUAAAAGUGAGUAUAACUAUAGCUAGCCAACAGCACAAAAUGCUGAUUCUGGGCACACUGCAUAGGUUUUAGCUGUACUCUGGAAAAAGCAACUCUGAGUGAAUGAAAGAUCCUUGUGUAGCACCACCAGUUAAAUUCUUUCCUGGGUGAAUCCCCAAUGAUGGCACUUACCUGCAUCAGUAGCACACUUCUAUUUCCUUAGGCACCUGCUUAUAAGCUAAAACUGCCUACUUGCCAAAAAGAUAUAAGAAUUUUUAUUUUUCAUUUGGAUAAAGGCAAUUAGUUAACACAAAUGGCCACCCCAAUUACCAAACUUAGGAUGAACUUCAACAACAUUGUUAACACAGUCAUUGUGUUGUGAAUUCUUUUUUUUUUUUUUUUUUUUUUUUGAGACAGAGUCUUGCUCUGUUGCCCAGGCUGGAGUGCACUGGCGAGAUCUCAGCUCACUGCAACCUCCACCUCCUGGGUUCAAGCGAUUCUCCUGCCUUAGUCUCCCAAGUAGCUGGGACUCAACACACCCAGCUAAUUCUUUUGUAUUUUUAAUAGACAUGGGGUUUCACCAUGUAGCCAGGCUGGUCCUGACCUCCUGAAUUCAGGUGAUCCAUCCACCUCAGCCUCCCAAAGUGCUGGGAUUACAGGCAUGAAAACCAGCACACCCGGCCCACCUGUGCACUGUUAGUGAGACUAUAAAAUGGUGCAGCAGCUAUGAAAACCAGUAUGGCAGUGGUUCAAAAAAUUAAAAUUGAUAUUAUCACAUGAUCUAGCAAUCCCACUUCUGGGUAUAUAUCUAAAAGAAUGGAAAACAGGCUCUCAAAAAGAUAUUUGACCACCCACGUUUAUAGCAGCAUUAUUCAUAAUAGCCAAGAACACACCUCAUUCAUAAGGGUGUAUUUUGGGGCUUUCUAUUCUAUUUAUUGGUUUAAUUUAUUUACCACUACACCAAUAUUACUGUCUUUUUUUUUUGCGACGGAGUCUCGCUCUGUCUCCCAGGCUGGAGUGCAGUGGCACGAUCUCUGCUCGCUGCAAGCUCCACCUCCCGGGUUCAUGCCAUUCUCCUGCCUCAGCCUCCUGAGUAGCUGGGACUACAGGUGCCUGCCACCACGCCCGGCUAUUUUUUGUAUUUUUAGUAGAGACGGGGUUUCACCGUGUCAGCCAGGAUGGUCUCGAUCUCCUGACCUGGUGAACCGCCUGCCUCGGCCUCCCAAAGUGUUGCGAUUACAGGCGUAAGCCACCGUGCCCGACCCUGUCUUUCUAUUUCUUAAUGUCUGUAGGGUAAGUGCCAACAGUUCUUCAGGAGUAUUUUGGGUUUUACUGGCCUUUUGUACUUCCACAUACAUACAUUUUAUUAUAAGUAGAUCAGGUUCUUCAUCAAAACAUGUUAUUUUGACUGAAAACUUGUUAACUUUCUAUAUUAAGUAAGAAAAAUUCAAGUCUUUAUAUUGAAACUUCUAAUCCAUCAAUAAGGAAGGUCUAUCCAUUGAUCUAGGUCAUCUUUGAUUUCUUUCAAUAGUAGUUUACAAAUUUCUUGGAAGAGAUAUUGCAUACUUUUUUGUUGUAUUUAUUUCUACUUAUUUUAUUGCUGUUGUAAUAUUGCUGUUAAAAGAGACAAGUCGGCCGGGUGCGGUGGCUCACGCCUGUAAUCCCAGCACUUUGGGAUGCCGAGGCCAGCGGAAUACCUGAGGUCAGGAGUUCCAGACCGGCCUGGCCAACGUGGCGAAGCCCCGUCUCUACUAAAAACAUACAAAAAUUAGCUGGGCGUGGUGGCAUGCGCCUGUAAUCCCAGCUACUCAGGGGCCUGAGGCAGGAGAAUCGCUUGAACCAGGGAGGUGGAGGUUGCAGCAAGCCAAGAUCAAGCCACUGCAUUCCAGCCUGGGCGACAGAGCAAGACUCCGUCAAAAAAAAAAAAAAAAAAAAAAAAAAAAAAAAGAGAGAGAGACAAGACAAUUAUCUUUGCAUAUUGAGUUUUUAGCCACUAUUCUUGCUAACCCGCACAUUAUGUGUAACAAUUUAGAUUCUUUUGGAUCUCCCACUUAGACAAUUUUGUUGUCUGUAAAUAAUGGCAGAAAAGAAAUGUAGAUAAUGUUUCUUCCAAUUUCUUUUUCAGACAGGGCCUUCCUCUGUCACCCCAGCUGGAGUGCAAUGGCGCCAUCUCAGCUCACUACAACCUCUGCCUCCGGGCUCAAGUGAUCCUCCUAUGUCAGUCUCCGAAGUAGCUGGGACUAUAGACAUGCAUCACCAUGCCUGGCUAAUUUUUGUAUUUUUAAAAAUUGAGACAGGGUUUUGCCAUCUUGCCCAGGCUGGUCUCAAACUCCUGAACUCAAAGCGAUCUUCCUUCCAAAGUGUUAGGAUCUCAGGCGUGAGCCGCGCGUGGCCGUAACUACAAUGCUUGAUAGAAUUCAUGAGAGUGGGCAUCGUUGCUGUACUCCUGAGCUUAGAACAGUUUUCAGUAUUUCACUACAAUGUUAGCUGUAGAUUUUUUUACAUGCUCUUUAUCAGUUUGUUGAGAGAUGUUGAGAAUGGGCCCGGUGCGGUGGUUCAUACCUGCAAUCCCAGCUCUUUGGGACGCCAAGGAGGGAAGAUCGCUUGAGCUGAGGAGUUCGCGACCAGCCUGGGCAAUAUAGUGUGACCUCCCAUCUCCACGAAAAAUUUAAAAAUUAGCCUGCUGUGGUGUCACGAGCCUGUAGUCCCAGCUACUGUUGAAUUUGAGGGAAGAUCGCUUGAGCCCAGGGAUUGGAGGUUUCCGUGAGCCGUGAUCGAGCCACUGCACUCCAGCCUGUGCGACACAGGAAGACCCUGACCUAUAAAAACGCAAACGAAGUAGUGAAGAGAGAUGUAUCAGUUAUCUACUGCCGUAUAACAAACCACCAGGCAACAGCGCAUCCUCGUACAAGCCGCAUAAAUGCAGAGGAAAGCGAGCAGAGGCAUUUCGAGGUCCCGCCCAACAGACUCCCUCCAUCGUGGUCCCGCCUCCACCCCAUGCCGCCGCCGGGUUCCGCCCCCACGGUGCCCAGUGAAGCCGGAGGGACGGGGUCCAAUCGCUGUCGGCUGCGCGGAAACUGGGACUUCUCCCCAGGGUCGUGGAGGACGCGGCCGCCGACCCUCCCACCACCUCACGCCUCGGAGACCGGGUCCAGAGCCCUCAGCCGCUUCCGAGCCCCGAGAGGGGAAUCAGAAGUGCGCGUGAGCAGAGCGGCACCCCCUUCCCAGGAAUCGCAGCUGAACCUAUGGUUUCCCCUGCACCAGCCUUUGCGACCAGGUGGGGCUUCAGGUGCGGCUUCGCCACGUGGAGACCAGAAGACCAUGUAGCACCAAAAAGAUAGCUGCAAAGCGGAAUAAAGUUGGGGAAAACAAUCUGCUGGCCGGAAGAGAGUAAGAUGCAGGAGGAUGAUUGCUGGUUCUCCGAAGCACGAGUCAGGGAGGCCAUGAGAUGGAAGAGCCACCCCACAAUGGGAAGAACCUGGAGACAAGGUUCUCCUUGUCUAUGCCCAAGAGAAGCCACCCUUCAGGAGAGAGUUUCUGAGUUUCAUGAACUUGGGGAACAUUCUAAACCUAUUCAAAAUAUGCUUACUCACAGAGAGGUCUCACAAGUAGGCACGUCGUCCAUAAAUGAGACUCGCAUGUUGAAUAUUUACACAGAAUUCAGUUUUUGUUUAGAUGACUAUCAGAAUAAAAUAUGUGUAUGAAAAGCCUUAUGAAUGUCAUGACUAUAAUGGAACCUAUGGCAAAGCAUUCAUCGUACUCAAUUUGAAGGAAUUCAGACAAGGCAGAAGCAGUCUAGGUGCUCUGAAAAUGGCAGUAAUUUUUUUUUUUUUUUUGCGACAGAGUCUCGCGUCUUGCUCUGUCACCCAGGCUGGGUUGCAGUGGCAUGAUCUCGGCUCCUGCAAUCUUCUCCUCCCGGGUUCAAGCGAUUCUCCCACAUCAGCCUCCCAACUGGCUGGGAUUACAGGCAUAUACCACCACGCCCGGCUAAUCUUUGCAUUUUUAGUAGAGAUGAGUUUUCACCAUGUUGGCCAUGCUGGUCUCAAACUCCUGACCACAACUGAUCCGCCCACUUCGGCCUCCAAAUGUGCUGGGAUUAUAGGCAUGAGCCACCACACCCAACCUAAAUGGCAGCAGCUUCUAAUGUAGCAAUGCACUUGCUUUCUUGUCAAGACAGACUUUCCAUGGGGGAGAAUCCCUAUGAGUGCAAUAAGAGUGACAAAGUCUUCAGUUGAUUAGUUAUCCCUUAAUUGACAGGCAUCGACUCAACGUGGUGAGAAGCCACAUGUACAUAAUCCAUGUGGAAAAACCAGGCCUGGAGCGGUGGCUCACGUCUGUAAUCCCAACACUUUGAAGACUGAUUACAAACUGGGAGGUUGAGGUAGGAGAAUCCCUUGAGCCCAGGAGUUCAAGACCAACCUGGGCAAUAUAGUGCAACCGCUAUCUCCACAAAAAAUUAGCCUGCUGUGGUGUCACGAGCCUGUAGUCCCACCUACUGGAGGAAUUGAGGCCGGAGGGUCGCUUUAGCCCAGGGGUUGGAGGCUGCAGUGGUGAGGGUCUCGGUGAGGGGGAGAUGGGGGCGGGCACCCGGUGAGGGACAGACGGGGGCGGGAGCCAUGAUUGCGCCACUCACUCCAGCCUGGGCAACAGAGGGAGAUCUUGACCUUAAAAAAACCCUCUUCACUAUUAUUUUUGGUAUAAAAUAAAAAAUUAUUUAAAAAUUGUAUUAGGAAAUAAAAAUAUUAGUGAAAAGGGAUGUAUCAGUUAUCUACUGCUGUAUAACAAACCACCCGGAAACAGCGCAUACUCGUACAUGGCGGCAUAAACGCAGAGGAAAGCGAGCAGAGGCAUUUCGAGGUGCAGCCCAACCGACUCCCUCCAUCAUGGUCCAGCCCCCAUACGUCCUCCCGCCGGGUUCCGCCCCCACGGUCCCCAGUGAAGCCGGAGGGCGGGGUCCAAUCGCGCUUGGCUGCGCGGAAACUAGGACUUCUCCCCAGAGUUGCGGAGGACGCGGCCGCCGCCCCUCCCAACUCCUCAGGCCUCCGAGGCCGGGUCCAGAGCCCUCACUUCCUUCUGAAACCCUGGAGCGGAAUCAGAAGUGCGCGUGGCCAGAGCGGCGCCUCCUGCCCUUUAGCCGCCGCUGGCCCAACGGUUUCCCCAGCAGUAGCCUCUGCGACCAGGUGCAGCUUCAGGUCAUUUUUUCCAGGACACUUUCUGUCUUCAUGACAGGAACAUCGAGAAGCCAAGGCUAGUGGCUGGGUUACUGAUGGAUUACUGAUGGAUUCUUCUCAGCACUUAGUGACCUUUGAGGAUGUGGCUGUGGACUUUACCCAGGAGGAGUGGACUUUGUUGGAUCAAGCCCAGAGAGAUCUCUACAGAGAUGUGAUGUUGGAGAACUACAAGAAUCUCAUUAUACUAGAAUUGGAUUUGCAACUCAAAACCAAAGGCUUCCCACUGCUGCAAGAUAUUUCUGCAGAAAGAUCACCAAAUGGAGUACAAUUGGAGAGAAGCAAUACUGCAGAGAAACUGUAUGAUUCUAACCAUUCUGGAAAAGUCUUCAAUGAACACCCAUUUCUUAUGACUUACAUGAUAACUCACAUUGGAGAGAAAACUUCUGAGGAUAAUCAGAGUGGAAAAGCCUUAAGAAAGAACUUUCCUCAUAGUUUUUACAAGAAAAGUCAUGCUGAGGGGAAAAUGCCUAAGUGUGUUAAACAUGAAAAAGCCUUCAACCAGUUUCCAAAUCUUACUAGGCAGAAUAAAACUCACACACAAGAGAAAUUGUGUGAAUGCAAAGACUGUUGGAGAACUUUUCUUAAUCAGUCAUCCCUUAAGUUACAUAUAAGAUCUCACAAUGGAGACAAACACUGUGUAUGUAAGGAAUGUGGGAAAGCCUUCAGUAAUUCCUCACACCUUAUAGGACAUGGAAGAAUUCACAGUGGAGAGAAGCCCUAUGUCUGUAAAGAAUGUGGUAAAGCUUUCACUCAAUCCACAGGACUUAAAUUACACAUCAGAACUCACAGUGGAGAAAAACCAUAUAAAUGUAAAGACUGUGGGAAAGCCUUCACCCAUUCUUCAUACCUUGCUGAUCAUACAAGAAUCCACAGUGGAAAGAAGCCCUAUGUAUGUAUGGAAUGUGGAAAAGCCUUCACUAGAUCCACAGGACUUAUUUUACACAUGCGAAUUCACACUGGAGAAAAGCCAUAUGAAUAGAUGAAGUUUCGUCAUGUUGUCCAGGCUGGUGUCAAACUCCUGACUUCAGGUGAUCCACCCACCUUGGCCUCCCAAAGUGCUGGGAUUACGGACGUGAGCCACCACACCCGCCCUUGAAAUACUGUUUCUAAAAGGACGCUCCUGCCCUCGAACAUCAGACUUCAAGUUCUUCAGUUUUGGAACUCAGACUGGCUCUCCUCGCUCCUCAGCCUGCAGACAGCCUAUUGUGGGACCUUGUGAUCCUAAAUUGACAAGUGAAUCCUAAACUUCAAACAGAAAUGGAAAAAACACCAAAUAGCCAAAACAAUUGUGAAAAAGAGGAACACAGUUGAAGGACUCCCAUUUCUGGAUUUCAAAACUUACUACAAAGUUGCAGUAAUCAAAACAAUGUGGCACUGGCUUAGGGACAGAGCUACAGAUUAAUGGUAUAGAAUUGAGAGUCCAGGGCCAGGGCGCGGUGGCUCAUGCCUGUAAUCCCACCACUUUGGGAGGCCCACACAGGCCGAUUACUUGGGGCCAGGCCCCACCUUCCUCCCUGCCCUUCUACCAUCCACAGGACUGGACCUGAUCUCAACCUGGUAUUCUGGGCUUGGACCCACCUUCUGCUCUGCCCCCAAACAUGGCUCCUCCCCCAGCGUAGUCCAGCCCACAGGCCUGAUUCUAACCUCAAGCUCGUCCUCUGGGCCCGGCCUCACCUUCCUCCUGGUCCUCUAGCGUGGGCCCGUGCCCCUGGCCCAUAGCUCCCUCCACAGGCCUGACUAACUUCAACCUUGUUCUCUGAACCUGGGGACUCCAGCUUCCUCUGUGAGUCCACAGCAAGUCUCAGCUGCACCCACGCGGGAGGAAACUAGAAUUUCUCGACGUGAUGUCUUCCAGCAAGGCUGAAGCACGAGCAGCAGAGCCUCUCCUAGCUGGAGGCUGUAAGCGGAAGUGACGCGAGCGAGGCGCCACCCUCUUUUCCGGUACUGGCUCCGCGAGCCUGAGCGAGGUUUCCCCAUGGUUGUCCUUGAUUUCGGAGGGAGCAAGUGUACUGGUAGUGGAACGGGUGGUGAGAGUUGAAGUUUAUCCGAAGCUGCCGAGGGGCCUUCUUAGAGAGGCUUGGCCUGCUGUGCUCGCGUCAGGUAGGUCUGCGAGGCCGCUCGUGCUGUCAGUCCUCGCGAAGGUCGGGGUCGAUAAUUGCCGCGCUCACCCAUAGAGUUCCCUUCAAAAGCCUCCAAAAAGACCAUUGUGAGUUUUUUCUAUGAGGAAAAGAAUUUCUUCCACUUGAGCCACGUUAACUUGUCCCCCAUCGUCGUCCUGCCUUACAGACCCUGCGAUUCCCGCGCAUUCCGGUGAGCAUUGGGUGAGGGAUGGUUCAAGGGGGCAUCUUGUUAUACGAACGAAUGUUUCACCUGAGAAUGUUCCUUUGUUUAUGCGUCAUAAACGUACUUUUGACGCCUUACAUUCUGUUAUAAAGACACUUUAAUAAGUAUCCAGGGAGUGCAUAUUUCUCUACGGAAAUAUAAAAUUAUGUAGACCACAAACAGGUCUUUCUACUGAAGAAAAAUAAGAAUGCUAAGCUAUUUUGAUCUGAACUUCGUAGGCCUGGACCUCCCCACAGAUUUUAAAAACAGGCGCUGGCCAGGUGCGGUGGCUCACGCCUGUAAUCCCAGCACUUAGGGAGACCGAGGCAGGCAAAUCACCUGAGGUCAGGAGUUUGAGACCAGCCUGGCCAACAUGGCAAAACCUCGUCUCUACUAAAAGUACAAAAAAAUUAGCCAGGCGUGGUGGCGCACGUCUGUAAUCCCAAUUACUUGGGAGGCUUAGGCAGGAGAAUCACUUGAAUCCAGGAGGAGGAAGUUAGUGAGCUGAGAUCGUGCCACUGCACUCCAGCUGGGGUGACAGAGCGAGACUCUGUCUCAAAAACAACAACAACAAAAAACCCAAGCAAACGAACAAACCAGGGGCCCACCCGGGGUACGGGGUCUCGUACCCGGGGUACAAGACCAAUCUGGGCAACAUAGCGAGACCCCGUCUUUACAAAAAAAAAAAAAAAAAAAAAUUAAAAAUCAGCCAGAGAUGGUGGUGUGUGCCAGCUACUCGGAAGGCUGAGGCGGGAGAAUCACUUGAGACAGAGAGUUCCAGACUACAGUGAGCUAUGAUCACGCCAUUGUUCUCCAGCCUGGGCUACAGAGCAAGACCUUGCCUCUUAAACAAAAAGACAAAAAUGGGCACCCAGGAGGAAAGGAUAUAGAUUUUGUUGCACUAGUAUUAGGAAUCAAAUUUACCAUUCGCCCUCUCCCUAGAAAACUAAAAUACCUUUUAUGGUGAAGUAUUUGAGGGUAAGUUGAAAAUUGCAGGAAAUUGAUACUUGACUUUCAGGUAGUUGGUAAUGCAUUUUCUAAAGAUAAAGGAUACUGGUCUACUAAAACCACAGUAUUUGUAUUUCAACCAAGAAAAAUUAAAAAAAAGUCAUUUAGGCUGGGCACAGUGGCUCACACCUGUAAUCCCAGCACUUUGGAAGGCCGAGGCGGGUGGCUCACUUGAGGCCAGGAGUUCGAGACCAGCCUGGCCAACAUGGCGAAACCCCAUCUCUACUAUAAAUAAAUAAAUAAAGCCAGCACCGGUGAUCCCACCAGCUGAGACGGGAGAAUCACAUGAACUCGGGAGGUGGAGGUUGCAGUGAGCCGAGAUCGCGCCACUGCAUUCCAGCCUGGGUGGCAGAAGGAGACUGUGCCUCAAAAAAAAAAAAGAACGACUCAUCUAGUAUCUACUUUGUAAAAACAAAAUUCUCUACAUGGUUCCAAAAUAGGCCCUUGGGACCUAAGAUCUAUUUAAAGUUUAUGGCCUUUAGUAUCUUUGAACCUAGACCAGUUACUAUUGUUUCUCUGUCAAAUCAACUUUUUGAAGAGUCACAUAUUAUUUCAGAAAGACACCCAUUUUAAUAUUUCUGAUUGUAGUCUUAUGGUGUGUUUAACUAUUUCUUUUAUUUUUUGUAUUUCUUAUAAAGUGAUUAAUGCUAAUGGUUCAUUAAGGCAUAAUGAAAAAAAAAAAAUCCAACCAAGGGCUGCUCUUAGGGAACUUGUAAACUAGUGGAGGGGCAGACGUCUAACCAAGCAAAUAAAUGUUUCAUUACAAUUUUUUUUUUUUAAUUGAGACAGAGUCUCCCUCUGUUGCCCAGGCUGGAGUCCAGUUGUGCCAUCUCUGCUCACUGCAACCUCCGCCUCUCAGAUUCAAGCAAGUCUCAUGUCUCAGCCUCCCAAGUAGCUGAGAUUACAGGCAUGCGCCACCACGCCUGGCUAGAGAUGGGGGUUUCAUCCUGUUGGCCUGGCUGGUCUUGAACUCCUGACUUCAGGUGAUCCACCUGCCUCAGCCUCCCAAAGUGCUGGGAUUACAAGCGUGAGCCACUGCGCUUGACUUAUUAUUACAAAUUGAUGAGCGUUUUGGAAGUAGAGGACAGUAUUGUUUUCUAUGUGUAUAUAUGGGAAUAGAUGAAUGUAAGAAAAGUGAGUUCUAUUUAAGGUGAGACCAAAAAGAUGGUGUCUAAAUAAGCCAUAUUGAAAGGAAAGGGAGUAGGAGUUAAGGAAAGCAUCAUAUAAAUUGGCUGAUUACAUAUGUACGGUGAGAGGUGAGUACAUCAAGGGUUUUUCUUAGGUUUGAUAGAAUUUUCUUUGGGGAUUAAAAUGAGGGAUGAAUCUAAUCUACAACAUUAUAACUACAGAAAAAAUGAUGUCUAAUCAUCACUUUAUUCUACUCAUGAAAAACUAAUUUUCUUAAGUAGGAAAUUAAUUGAAAGAAUCAGAAUCAGUGGCUGGCUGAGCACUUGAAAAUAAGUUCUACGUGAAAAUUCACUUAAUUAUCAAUCUUAGCAAAUAUGUGUUCAUAUAUGGAAGGGCAAGGCUCUCCUUGGUGUUCAGUCCAACUUUGGGUUCUUCCUACCCAAAGUAGGACUCCAUUUCCCAGAAGAAAUGUACAGAGUUACCAGUCCCGUGUGAGACUCCUAUGUCACCGACACAUCUACUCACUCCAUGGGUAAAUGAAAUCAGAAGACUCCCUUGCUGACAUGGGCUGCCAGAAAGCUCUGAAGGAACCAUGAGGCUUAAAAAUACCCACAUUGGGCCAGGCACGGUGGCUCACGCCUGUAAUCCCAGCACUUUGGGAGGCCGAGGAGGGUGAAUCAUGAGGUCAGGAGUUCAAAACCAGCCUGGCCACGAUGGUGAAACCCCGUCUCUACUAAAAAUACAAAGAUUAGCUGGGCGUGGUCCUGGGCACCUGUAAUCCCAGCUACUGGGGAGGCUGAGGCAGAGAAUUGCUUGACCCCAGGAGGCGGAGGUUGCAGUGAGCUGAGAUCGUGCCACUGCACUACAGCCUGGGCAACAGAGCAAGACUCUUGUCUCAAAAAAAAAAAAAAAAAAGAAAUACUCACAUUACCAUCUGUAUUUGUCACUUAGGGGUCCCAGUGAGCUAGCUGGACAUAGAGAAAAAAAUGGUAUGUUCUGAAGAUAAAGCUGAUGAGGAUGUGCAUAUUCUGCUGGUUGCAGAGAGUAUUAGAGAAAAUUUCAAAAACUAUUGGCAACAUCUACUAAAUUUGUACACGUACAUGCGCUCUAACAUAAGAGUAAUGGCUCCAGUGUGCAUCAAGAUAACAGUAAAAACAUUUCACCAGCAUUAUUUGAUGUAAUCCUCAAUUGGAAAUUACUCAAAUGAGAUCAACAGAAUGGGUAAAUUGUGGCAUAAUUAUACUACUGGAAUGCUCUACAGCAAAUGAAGUAAUAAAGGUAGAUACAGUGAUAUGGAUCAGCUUCACUAACAUAAUCUUAAGAUCACGUGUUAAGCCAGGCACGGUGGCUCACGCCUGUAAUCCCAACAAUUUGGGAGGCUGGGGCAGGUGGAUCAUGAGGUCAGGAGUUUGAGACCAGCCUGACCAAUGUGGUGAAACCCCGUCUCUACUAAAAAUACCAAAAAAAAAAAAAUUAGGUGUGGGGGCGUGCGCCUGUAAUCCCAGCUACUCAGAAGGGCUGAGGCAGGAGAAUCACUUCAACCCAGGAGACGGAGGUUGCAGUGAGCCGAGAUCACGCCACUGCACUCCAGCCUAGGUGACAGAGCGAGACUCCGUCUCAAAAAAAAAAAAAAAAAAAAAAAAAAAAUCACCGGUCAGUUGUUUCUACCUAGUACCAGAGCCAAGGUGUUUCUCAAAAAGAGGGUAGUUUCCUGCAGAAGAUGGCAUGGAUUUGCUCCACACUACUGUGCUGUGCGUCUCCUAUUGGUGCUUGCCAGAGAAGGCUAUGGAGGCAUUGAGUAUGAUUGGAUCUGCUAGAUCAUUUGGACUAAGUGCUUGAGAAUGUUAUAGAGCAGCCUGAACUUGAUGCAGGGCACUUUGCUUUGUUUUUUUGUUUUGUUUUGUUUUUUUGAGAUGGAGUUUUGCUCUGUCACCCAGGCUGGAGUGCAAUGGCACAAUCUCAGCUCACUGCACCCUCUGUCACCAGGGUUCAACCGAUUCUCCUGCCUCAGCCUCCCAAGUAGCUGGGAUUACAGGUGUGCACCACCAUGCCCAGCUAAUAUUUGUAUUUUUAGUAGAGAUGAAGUUUCACCAUGUUGGCCAGGCUGCUCUUGAACUCCCAACCUCAGGUGAUCCACCCACCUUGGCCUCCCAAAGUGUUGGGAUUAAAAAUAUGAGGCACCUCGCCUGGCUUGCAAAGCACUUUCCUUCUGUGACCCCACUGAAUGUCUCAUAGGUGACUUUGUAGACUGAAUAAAACACAUUCAAAAGUGGUAUAUGUUUUAAAAGGAAACAUUGUCAUUUGCAACAACAUGGAUGGAUGUGGAGGACAAUAUGUUAAGUGAAAUAAGCCAGGUAUGGAAAAACAAAUACCAGAUGAUCUCCCUUGUAUGUAUAAUUUAAAAAGUUGGAUUCAUAGAAGGAGAGAUAGAAUGGUAGUUACCAGGGGCUUAGGGGUAUGGGUUGGGGAGAUGUUGGUCAAAGUAAGGGAGGAGACCACCUCUCAUAUUGUCUUAUGCCCAAUUUCUGCCUUCCAAGAAAAAAAGAAGUAAAAACUAAAAGGCAGAAAUGAAACCCACAGGCAGACAUCCCGGCGUCAAACCCUGGGCCUCGUUGUUAAAGACCGACCCCUGACCUAAUUGGUUAUGUUAUCUAUAGAUUACAGACAUUGUAUGGAAAAGGACUGUGAAAAAACAUGUACUGUUCUGUUCUGUUCUAAUUACCGGUGCAGGUGCAUGCAGCCACUAGUCACGUACCCCCUGCUUGCUCAAUCCAUCGCAACCCUCUCACACUGACCCCCUUAGAGUUGUAAGCCCUUAAAAGGGACAGGAAUUGCUCACUCAGGGAGCUUUGUUUUUGGAGAUGUGAGUCUGCCUAUGCUCCCAGCUGAAUAAAGCCCUUUCCUUCUACAA